Molecule: ribosomal RNA, 251 nt
Filed under: uncultured prokaryote
Description: partial 16S rRNA
Rfam family: Bacterial small subunit ribosomal RNA
Source: RNAcentral
ACGUAGGGUGCGAGCGUUAAUCGGAAUUACUGGGCGUAAAGCGUGCGCAGGCGGUUGUGUAAGUCAGAUGUGAAAUCCCCGGGCUUAACCUGGGAACUGCAUUUGAGACUGUACGUCUAGAGUGUGGCAGAGGGGGGUAGAAUUCCACGUGUAGCAGUGAAAUGCGUAGAGAUGUGGAGGAAUACCGAUGGCGAAGGCAGCCCCCUGGAUUACUACUGACGCUCAUGCACGAAAGCGUGGGGAGCAAACAG